This 517-nucleotide ribosomal RNA is filed under the name Escherichia coli. RNAcentral's name for it is "bacterial SSU rRNA". It matches the Rfam family "Bacterial small subunit ribosomal RNA", at positions 874 to 1391 of the family's 1533-position model. Lineage: Bacteria; Pseudomonadati; Pseudomonadota; Gammaproteobacteria; Enterobacterales; Enterobacteriaceae. The record is from RNAcentral.
UGGGGAGUACGGCCGCAAGGUUAAAACUCAAAUGAAUUGACGGGGGCCCGCACAAGCGGUGGAGCAUGUGGUUUAAUUCGAUGCAACGCGAAGAACCUUACCUGGUCUUGACAUCCACAGAACUUUCCAGAGAUGGAUUGGUGCCUUCGGGAACUGUGAGACAGGUGCUGCAUGGCUGUCGUCAGCUCGUGUUGUGAAAUGUUGGGUUAAGUCCCGCAACGAGCGCAACCCUUAUCCUUUGUUGCCAGCGGUCCGGCCGGGAACUCAAAGGAGACUGCCAGUGAUAAACUGGAGGAAGGUGGGGAUGACGUCAAGUCAUCAUGGCCCUUACGACCAGGGCUACACACGUGCUACAAUGGCGCAUACAAAGAGAAGCGACCUCGCGAGAGCAAGCGGACCUCAUAAAGUGCGUCGUAGUCCGGAUUGGAGUCUGCAACUCGACUCCAUGAAGUCGGAAUCGCUAGUAAUCGUGGAUCAGAAUGCCACGGUGAAUACGUUCCCGGGCCUUGUACACACC